RNAcentral lists this unclassified non-coding RNA (250 nucleotides) under plant metagenome. Its description in RNAcentral is "partial contains small subunit ribosomal RNA, internal transcribed spacer 1, and 5.8S ribosomal RNA". The record is from RNAcentral.
GUAGGUGAACCUGCGGAAGGAUCAUUAACACGUAUCCAACGUUAAACAACCCUGGUAAAUCGAGCGAACAGUUUGAUUCAGGGACCUCUUUUGAUACACACUUGGAUUCGAUGCGGCGUCGUAAUUUAGACUUGGUUUCUGGAAGGCUAUCAAGUAAAAUCGUUGACGCACGAUAAAGGAUGCUGCCUUAAAAGCAGAUCACUGGUCCUCACGACGGUCAGUGGACAAGUCUCUGGGCUUCGGCCCCCAU